GGAGAUAGCUCACUUGGUAGAGUGCUUGCCUCGCAUGCACAAGGUCCUGCAUUCAAUCCCCAGAACCA
RNAcentral lists this transfer RNA (68 nucleotides) under Marmota monax (woodchuck). Its description in RNAcentral is "tRNA.Ala". Lineage: Eukaryota; Metazoa; Chordata; Mammalia; Rodentia; Sciuridae. The record is from RNAcentral.